AUUGAACGCUGGCGGCAGGCCUAACACAUGCAAGUCGAGCGGAUGAAGGGAGCUUGCUCCUGGAUUCAGCGGCGGACGGGUGAGUAAUGCCUAGGAAUCUGCCUGGUAGUGGGGGAUAACGUCCGGAAACGGGCGCUAAUACCGCAUACGUCCUGAGGGAGAAAGUGGGGGAUCUUCGGACCUCGCGCUAUCAGAUGAGCCUAGGUCGGAUUAGCUAGUUGGUGGGGUAAAGGCCUACCAAGGCGACGAUCCGUAACUGGUCUGAGAGGAUGAUCAGUCACACUAGAACUGAGACACGGUCCAGACUCCUACGGGAGGCAGCAGUGGGGAAUAUUGGACAAUGGGCGAAAGCCUGAUCCAGCCAUGCCGCGUGUGUGAAGAAGGUCUUCGGAUUGUAAAGCACUUUAAGUUGGGAGGAAGGGCAGUAAGUUAAUACCUUGCUGUUUUGACGUUACCAACAGAAUAAGCACCGGCUAACUUCGUG
This 484-nucleotide ribosomal RNA is filed under the name uncultured bacterium. Its description in RNAcentral is "partial 16S ribosomal RNA". It matches the Rfam family "Bacterial small subunit ribosomal RNA", at positions 30 to 507 of the family's 1533-position model. The record is from RNAcentral.